RNAcentral lists this ribosomal RNA (1247 nucleotides) under Pseudocoleodictyospora tectonae. Its description in RNAcentral is "eukaryotic LSU rRNA". It matches the Rfam family "Eukaryotic large subunit ribosomal RNA", at positions 68 to 988 of the family's 3401-position model. Lineage: Eukaryota; Fungi; Ascomycota; Dothideomycetes; Pleosporales. The record is from RNAcentral.
ACAGGGAUUGCCUCAGUAACGGCGAGUGAAGCGGCAAUAGCUCAAAUUUGAAAUCUGGUGCCUUCGCGGGCUCCCGAGUUGUACUUUGCAGAGGGUGCUUUGGCGUUGGCUGCGGUCUAAGUUCCUUGGAACAGGACGUCGCGGAGGGUAAGAAUCCCGUAUGUGGCCGCCAGCCUCCGCCGUGUAAAGCCCCUUCGACGAGUCGAGUUGUUUGGGAAUGCAGCUCUAAAUGGGAGGUAAAUUCCUUCUAAAGCUAAAUACCGGCCAGAGACCGAUAGCGCACAAGUAGAGUGAUCGAAAGAUGAAAAGCACUUUGGAAAGAGAGUCAAAAAGCACGUGAAAUUGUUGAAAGGGAAGCGCUUGCAGCCAGACGUGCCCGCAGUCGCUCAUCCGGGCCCCGGCCCGGUGCACUCCUCUGCGGGCAGGCCAGCAUCAGUUUCGGCGGUCGGAUAAAGGCGCCUGUCACGUACCACCCCUCGGGAUGGCCUUACAGGGGGCGCGCAAUACGGCCUGCCGGGACUGAGGCACCGCGCAUCUGCUAGGAUGCUGGCGUAAUGGUGGCAAGCGGCCCGUCUUGAAACACGGACCAAGGAGUCUAACAUCUAUGCGAGUGUUUGGGCGUCAAGCCCCGGCGCGCAAUGAAAGUGAACGGAGGUGGGAGCCCUCGGGCGCACCAUCGACCGAUCCUGAUGUCUUCGGAUGGAUUUGAGUAAGAGCAUAGCUGUUGGGACCCGAAAGAUGGUGAACUAUGCUUGAAUAGGGUGAAGCCAGAGGAAACUCUGGUGGAAGCUCGCAGCGGUUCUGACGUGCAAAUCGAUCGUCAAAUUUGGGCAUAGGGGCGAAAGACUAAUCGAACCAUUGACGGAGGAAAGGGGGGAGUGUCGGGGGCAUACGCGCCCCAGGACCCUCCCUCGCUACUAGGUGGUUGAGAGGGCCCCCGCCGAGGGGGCCCUAGUCGCCCGCGUUCGCGGGGGGCUACGCCGUCAAAUUGCCGGGGACGCCCACGAGAGAGAGCCCAGCGCACCGCGGCCCCGCCGAAAGGCGAGGCGCAGCACCGGCCGUAAUGGGCCGGGGACGGUAACAGCGCUGAGGACGGGGCAAUCCGCAGCUGAGCCCUACGGCCCCCCUAGGGGCUAUGGGUGCAGUCCACAGACUAGAUGUCGGCGGGUGGUGCCAGCAGGCGCCGCUCAAGAUGUAGUCGAGCCCCGACCCGAGAGGGACGGGGGCUGUCGCCCGACAGCAGACGG